RNAcentral lists this ribosomal RNA (466 nucleotides) under uncultured bacterium. RNAcentral describes it as "partial 16S ribosomal RNA". It matches the Rfam family "Bacterial small subunit ribosomal RNA", at positions 28 to 507 of the family's 1533-position model. The record is from RNAcentral.
GAUGAACGCUGGCGGCGUGCUUAACACAUGCAAGUCGAACGGAAAGGCCCAAGCUUGCUUGGGUACUCGAGUGGCGAACGGGUGAGUAACACGUGGGUGAUCUGCCCUGCACUUCGGGAUAAGCCUGGGAAACUGGGUCUAAUACCGGAUAGGACCACAUUUUGGAUGGUGUGGUGGAAAGUUUUUCGGUGUGGGAUGAGCUCGCGGCCUAUCAGCUUGUUGGUGGGGUAAUGGCCUACCAAGGCGUCGACGGGUAGCCGGCCUGAGAGGGUGUACGGCCACAUUGGGACUGAGAGACGGCCCAGACUCCUACGGGAGGAAGCAGUGGGGAAUAUUGAACAAUGGGCGCAAGCCUGAUGCAGCGACGCUGCGUGGGGGAUGACGGCCUUCGGGUUGUAAACUCCUUUCGCUAGGGACGAAGCGUUAUGUGACGGUACCUGGAGAAGAAGCACCGGCUAACUACGUG